UACGUAGGGUGCAAGCGUUAAUCGGAAUUACUGGGCGUAAAGCGUGCGCAGGCGGUGAUGUAAGACAGAUGUGAAAUCCCCGGGCUCAACCUGGGACCUGCAUUUGUGACUGCAUCGCUAGAGUACGGUAGAGGGGGAUGGAAUUCCGCGUGUAGCAGUGAAAUGCGUAGGUAUGCGGAGGAACACCGAUGGCGAAGGCAAUCCCCUGGACCUGUACUGACGCUCAUGCACGAAAGCGUGGGGAGCAAACAGG
Molecule: ribosomal RNA, 253 nt
Filed under: uncultured bacterium
Lineage: Bacteria
Description: partial 16S ribosomal RNA
Rfam family: Bacterial small subunit ribosomal RNA
Source: RNAcentral